RNAcentral lists this ribosomal RNA (470 nucleotides) under uncultured bacterium. RNAcentral's name for it is "partial 16S ribosomal RNA". It matches the Rfam family "Bacterial small subunit ribosomal RNA", at positions 28 to 507 of the family's 1533-position model. The record is from RNAcentral.
GACGAACGCUGGCGGCGUGCUUAACACAUGCAAGUCGAACGCUGAAGCACCAGCUUGCUGGUGUGGAUGAGUGGCGAACGGGUGAGUAAUACGUGAGUAACCUGCCCUUGACUCUGGGAUAAGCCCGGGAAACUGGGUCUAAUACUGGAUGCUACAUGUCACCGCAUGGUGGUGUGUGGAAAGGGUUUACUGGUCUUGGAUGGGCUCACGGCCUAUCAGCUUGUUGGUGAGGUAAUGGCUCACCAAGGCGACGACGCGUAGCCGGACUGAGAGGGUGACCGGGCACAGUGGGACUGGGACACGGCCCAGGCUCCUACGGGAGGGAGCAGUGGGGGAGAUUGCACAAUGGGCGAGAGCCUGAUGCAGCGACGCCGCGGGGGGGAGGACGGCCUUCGGGUUGUAAACCUCUUGCAGCAGGGAAGAAGCCGCAAGUGACAGUACCUGCAGAAGAAGCGCCGGCUAACUACGUG